Molecule: ribosomal RNA, 253 nt
Filed under: uncultured bacterium
Lineage: Bacteria
Description: partial 16S ribosomal RNA
Rfam family: Bacterial small subunit ribosomal RNA
Source: RNAcentral
UACGUAGGGCGCAAGCGUUGUCCGGAAUCAUUGGGCGUAAAGAGCUCGUAGGCGGCCUGUUGCGUCCGCUGUGAAAUCCCGGGGCUUAACCCCGGGCGUGCAGUGGAUACGGGCUGGCUGGAGGCAGGCAGGGGAGAACGGAAUUCCCGGUGUAGCGGUGAAAUGCGCAGAUAUCGGGAGGAACACCGGUGGCGAAGGCGGUUCUCUGGGCCUGUACUGACGCUGAGGAGCGAAAGCGUGGGGAGCGAACAGG